RNAcentral lists this ribosomal RNA (1449 nucleotides) under Triticum aestivum (bread wheat). RNAcentral describes it as "partial small subunit ribosomal RNA". Lineage: Eukaryota; Viridiplantae; Streptophyta; Magnoliopsida; Poales; Poaceae. The record is from RNAcentral.
AUGCCAGCGGCCGUAUCCGUGGUUAGUAGAGGGAGAUCGAAGAUGAGGAAUACGCAGCGAAAGCCAUCUAUUCUCAACUUCGAUGCUGGAUGCGGAUCUUCCUUAUCUUUUAUUGUAAUAGGCUUGGUGGGAUUCACCCUCAUUGCCUGCCUAUUUUUCAUCAGCCAUCAAGUAAAAACUGGGCAUGCCCAUAGCUAUUCCAGCCAUUUGCCUGCCACCAGAGAAUUGGAACAGGUUGAGGAAGAGCACUUUCGGUUGCCACCUCCUCACAAGGUGAAUCCUCGUGCAGUGAAACGUACAGUCAAACGUCGGGGCUCUACCAAGGCUUCAAAGAUCAUCGAUGAAUAUCUGGAUGGGUCCUCAGCAUUACACGACAUGUUCUUUCCUAGUGAAACAACUGCUGUGAACCCAACAAAAGGCAGAAAUGACAGCAUGUACUUUUAUCCCGGUAGGGUGUGGCUGGACACUGAUGGAAAUGCCAUUCAAGCCCAUGGUGGUGGCAUUCUGUAUGAUCAGAAUACCGCGACAUACUAUUGGUACGGAGAGAACAAAGAUGGACCAACUUAUCAAAUUCACCCUGAAGGGGCACAACGGAUAGACAUUAUAGGGGUAAGCUGCUACUCCUCGAAGGACCUAUGGUCAUGGACUCACGAAGGAAUCGUGCUUCCUGGAGAGCGUACCAAUAUCACGCACGACCUUCAUAUAUCAAAGGUUCUUGAGAGGCCUAAGGUGAUAUAUAAUGACCGUACUCGGCAGUAUGUUAUGUGGAUGCACAUCGACGACGGCAAUUACACUAAAGCAUCUGUCGGUGUGGCCGUCAGCAGAUCUCCCACAGGGCCUUUCAGUUACCUCUACAGUUUCCGGCCACAUGGAUUUGAUAGCAGGGACAUGACGAUCUUCAAAGACGACGAUGGCAUGGCUUACCUCUUCUACGCUACUCGCGGCAACACCGAGCUUCAUGUCAGUCCAUUGACAGCGGAUUAUCUUAAUGUCACAUCGGCUAUAAGGAGAAUAUUGGUAAGACGGUUCAGGGAGGCUCCGGCCGUGUUCAAGCUCAGAGGAACCUACUACAUGAUCACCUCAAGGUGCUCAGGUUGGGCUCCAAAUCCAGCACUGGCACACGCCACACACAAGAUCAUGGGGCCAUGGGAGACGUUAGGGAACCCGUGCGUGGGAGGCAACCACUUCCUCCGGCUGACAACGUUCCUGUCUCAGAGCACAUUCGUGCUCCCCCUCCCUGGCUUGCCGGGCACAUUCAUCUUCAUGGCAGACAGGUGGAACCCGUCGGAUUUGUGCGACUCCCGGUAUGUCUGGCUGCCCUUGUCCAUCGGAGGUUUGGCGGACGAGGCGCUGGACUACAGUUUCGGGUUCCCGUCGUGGUCGAGGGUUUCUAUUUACUGGCACAGGAAAUGGCGACUCCCUGAAGGUUGGAGGAAGAGUUACGCCUGA